This 449-nucleotide ribosomal RNA is filed under the name uncultured bacterium. RNAcentral describes it as "partial 16S ribosomal RNA". It matches the Rfam family "Bacterial small subunit ribosomal RNA", at positions 29 to 523 of the family's 1533-position model. The record is from RNAcentral.
AACGAACGCUGGCGGCAUGCCUAACACAUGCAAGUCGAACGAGACCUUCGGGUCUAGUGGCGCAAGGGUGCGUAACGAGUGGGAAUCUGCACCUUGGUUAGGAAUAAGUGUUAGAAAUGACAGCUAAUACCGGCUGAUGACUUCGGAUCAAAGCUUUAUCGCCAAGGGAUGAGCCCGCGUAGGAUUAGGUAGUUGGUAGGGUAAAGGCCCACCAAGCCGACGAUCCUUAGCUGGUCUGAGAGGAUGAUCGGCCACACUGGGACUGAGACACGGCCCAGACUCCUACGGGAGGCAGCAGUGGGGAAUAUUGGACAAUGGGCGAAAGCCUGAUCCAGCAAUGCCGCGUGAGUGAUGAAGGUCUUAGGGUUGUAAAGCUCUUUUACCAGGGAAGAUAAUGACAGUACCUGGAGAAUAAGCUCCGGCUAACUCCGUGCCAGCCGCCGCGGUAA